RNAcentral lists this ribosomal RNA (39 nucleotides) under Rossioglossum beloglossum. RNAcentral describes it as "partial 26S ribosomal RNA". Lineage: Eukaryota; Viridiplantae; Streptophyta; Magnoliopsida; Asparagales; Orchidaceae. The record is from RNAcentral. RNAcentral also lists the same sequence under 13 other names.
GCGACCCCAGGAUGGGCGAGGAAACCCGCCGAGUUUAAG